This is a long non-coding RNA of Myotis lucifugus (little brown bat), 233 nucleotides long. RefSeq lists it as uncharacterized. The record is from RefSeq and is a predicted model, not a curated record. NCBI's taxonomy places the organism in Eukaryota, Metazoa, Chordata, Mammalia, Chiroptera, Vespertilionidae. The transcript has 3 exons.
CGUUUCCCAGGUGGUGGUUAUUGAGGUCGGUUAUACACGGACCCAUUCAAACUUCCCUCUACAUGCGCCCGGGGCCAACAACCACCGGCCUUUCAUUUGUGGAGGAAGAGGAGCGGCUAGAAAACGGAGCCCUGACUUCUCAGAAAGCACUGCCCGGAGGAGGCGGCAACAGAGCCCCAGUCUGUCUUCUUACAACUCCGUUUCCCCAGAGAGAAAAAGAAAAAAUGAGCGUG